UACGUAGGGGGGCAAGCGUUGUCCGGAAUUAUUGGGCGUAAAGAGCGCGUAGGCGGUCCGAUAAGUCGGCUGUGAAAGUCAGGGGCUCAACCCUUGAAAGCCGGCCGAUACUGUCGGACUAGAGUCCGGAAGAGGCAAGUGGAAUUCCCGGUGUAGCGGUGAAAAUGCGCAGAUAUCGGGAGGAACACCAAUGGCGAAGGCAGCUUGCUGGGACGGUACUGACGCUGAGGCGCGAAAGCGUGGGGAGCAAACAGG
Molecule: ribosomal RNA, 255 nt
Filed under: uncultured bacterium
Lineage: Bacteria
Description: partial 16S ribosomal RNA
Rfam family: Bacterial small subunit ribosomal RNA
Source: RNAcentral